GUCCAGACUCCUACGGGAGGCAGCAGUGAGGAAUAUUGGUCAAUGGCCGGAAGGCUGAACCAGCCAAGCCGCGUGAGGGAGGAAGGCGCAGAGCGUCGCAGACCUCUUUUGCCGGGGGACAAAAGGCCGGACUCGUCCGGUCCUGAGGGUACCCGGAGAAAAAGCAUCGGCUAACUCCGUGCCAGCAGCCGCGGUAAUACGGAGGAUGCGAGCGUUAUCCGGAUUUAUUGGGUUUAAAGGGUGCGCAGGCGGAAUGUCAAGUCAGCGGUAAAAUUUCGGGGCUCAACCCCGUCGUGCCGUUGAAACUGGCGUUCUUGAGUGAGCGAGAAGUAUGCGGAAUGCGUGGUGUAGCGGUGAAAUGCAUAGAUAUCACGCAGAACUCCGAUUGCGAAGGCAGCAUGCCGGCUCCACACUGACGCUGAGGCACGAAAGCGUGGGUAUCGAACAGGAUUAGAUACCCUCGUACG
Molecule: ribosomal RNA, 467 nt
Filed under: uncultured bacterium
Lineage: Bacteria
Description: bacterial SSU rRNA
Rfam family: Bacterial small subunit ribosomal RNA
Source: RNAcentral